CAGUAGCCGCGGUAAUACAGAGGAUGCGAGCGUUAUCCGGAAUGAUUGGGCAUAAAGUGUCUGUAGGUGGCUUUUCAAGUCCGCCGUCAAAUCCCAGGGCUCAACCUUGGACAGGCGGUGGAAACUACCAAGCUGGAGGACGGUAGGGGCAGAGGGAAUUUCCGGUGGAGCGAUGAAAUGCGUUGAGAUCGGAAAGAACACCAACAGCGAAAGCACUCUGUUGGGCCGACACUGACACUGAGAGACGAAAGUUAGGGGAGCAAAUGGGAUUAGAGACCCCCGUAGUCCCUGUCUCUUAUAC
RNAcentral lists this ribosomal RNA (301 nucleotides) under uncultured bacterium. RNAcentral's name for it is "partial 16S ribosomal RNA". It matches the Rfam family "Bacterial small subunit ribosomal RNA", at positions 509 to 807 of the family's 1533-position model. The record is from RNAcentral.